GAGGAUAUAGCUCAGUGGUAGAGUGCAUGCCUAGCAAGCACAAGGUCCUGGGUUGAAUUCCUGGUAUACUUC
Molecule: transfer RNA, 72 nt
Filed under: Camelus dromedarius (Arabian camel)
Lineage: Eukaryota; Metazoa; Chordata; Mammalia; Artiodactyla; Camelidae
Also listed under: 1 other name
Rfam family: tRNA
About the family: Transfer RNA (tRNA) molecules are approximately 80 nucleotides in length.
Source: Rfam by way of RNAcentral